UAGGGGAGCCGGAGGGAAACCGAGUCUUAAUUGGGCGUUAAGUUGCAGGGUAUAGACCCGAAACCCGGUGAUCUAGCCAUGGGCAGGUUGAAGGUUGGGUAACACUAACUGGAGGACCGAACCGACUAAUGUUGAAAAAUUAGCGGAUGACCUGUGGCUGGGGGUGAAAGGCCAAUCAAACCGGGAGAUAGCUGGUUCUCCCCGAAAGCUAUUUAGGUAGCGCCUCGUGAAUUCAUCUCCGGGGGUAGAGCACUGUUUCGGCUAGGGGGCCAUCCCGGCUUACCAACCCGAUGCAAACUGCGAAUACCGGAGAAUGUUAUCACGGGAGACACACGGCGGGUGCUAACGUCCGUCGUGAAGAGGGAAACAACCCAGACCGCCAGCUAAGGUCCCAAAGUCAUGGUUAAGUGGGAAACGAUGUGGGAAGGCCCAGACAGCCAGGAUGUUGGCUUAGAAGCAGCCAUCAUUUAAAGAAAGCGUAAUAGCUCACUGGUCGAGUCGGCCUGCGCGGAAGAUGUAACGGGGCUAAACCAUGCACCGAAGCUGCGGCAGCGA
Molecule: ribosomal RNA, 555 nt
Filed under: Salmonella enterica subsp. enterica serovar Tennessee
Lineage: Bacteria; Pseudomonadati; Pseudomonadota; Gammaproteobacteria; Enterobacterales; Enterobacteriaceae
Also listed under: 3 other names
Description: bacterial LSU rRNA
Rfam family: Bacterial large subunit ribosomal RNA
Source: RNAcentral